UCCAACAGUGCAAGGCGGCCGGCGGCUUCUGCGCAGGCGCUGUAAGAACCGAUGUGAUGGGACGCGGUAAUUUGGCAAGGUGUUCGCAUUCCAGCUGCUUUCGAUCCACACGUAAAGUCAGCCCCUUGCUCUCCACCGCGUUGUAGGAUUGGCAGGAAUGGACAGUGGUUUCCCUUUGUGCAUUGACAGAGACAAGGAAGAGACCCUGCCAACCUCUCAGAAGCAAAACAGAAGACCAAGCUCUGCCUCUCUGUUGCUGGCCUCUGUCUUGGGUCCUGGAAGCCAGGCCUGAGGGAGUGAAAACACCAGAUUAAGUGUCUGGAGGCAGAUAAGUCUCAGAACAGCCCGCUCUUACAGGCAAGACUAUGUUUGGGGUCAGGUGAUAGACCUCUUAUUAAA
Mustela erminea (ermine) is the source of this 399-nucleotide long non-coding RNA. RefSeq lists it as uncharacterized. Lineage: Eukaryota; Metazoa; Chordata; Mammalia; Carnivora; Mustelidae. The record is from RefSeq and is a predicted model, not a curated record. The transcript has 2 exons.